CUGGAUAAGGCAAAUGUGGUAUGUGUACACCAUGGAAUACUAUGCAGCCAUAAACAAUUUCCUGUUUUGAUGUUGGGUGUUUACAUUAGGGAAAGUACAGUGAGGGAUAUAAGGAAGCUCUGUAUUACGUUUGCAAUUUUUAUGUAGGUAUAAAAUUCGAUGAAAAUAAAAAGGUUUAAAGCAAAGUCUUAAAAAUAUAAAUCACAGCAAGUCACUCCCCUGUUCAGACUCUCUAGUGAUGUUUUAUCUCACUCAAAGUAGAUGGCAAAUUCUACACAAUGACCUAAAAGGCCUACAUUAAUUUUCCCCAUCUGUCUGUCCUCUCUAACCUCAUCUACUAGUCCUCUGUCACCACUGAACUUCAGUAAACUAGCUGCUUGCUGGUUGUUAAAUAUAGCAGGCAUAUUCCCAGUCUUUGCAUUGAUUUUUUCCCCCUCACUCUCUGGAAAGUUCCUCUUCUAGCUAGCUGCAUGGCCUGCUCCCUGUCCCCACCACUUUGUUUAAUAUUACACUCACUAGCUUCUUAGAAUCUCGUAUUCUAACAUUUUUUCCUACAGCGCUUAUCAUUGUUCAUAUUCUAAAUAGUUUACUUAUUUAAUUCUAUUAUUGUUUGUUGAUACACACUAGAGUUUAAGACACACAAAGGGAGAGACAUUUGACUGUUUUGUUCACUGAUGAAUUACCACUGAACAUAAAUGCAGAAGGCAUAAAUAGUCACAUGAAGGCUGCUUCACCUCCAAUGUCUCAUUCUAGUUUUAAGACCAGGAAGAAGGAAGUAAUAAAGGAAGAAAUAUGUUAGAAAAGCAAAACCUCUUUUCAUGCGUCAUUGGAUCACUGGCCAAAACUGUGUUACAUAGCCACCUCUAAUUGCAAUGAAGGCUAGGAACAUUACUAUUCAACAAACAAAAUUUAGUUUUUGUUGGUAAGAAAGCAAGGGGGCAAAUUACUGGAUAGCUACUGAUAAUAUCAGUAUAUCUAGACACUUGUAACAAAAGGGUUAGGUUAUAAAGACAAAGAAUGAAUACAAAAACUAUUCAGACCUACUCCGCCAAAACUAGUGUUACUUAAAAGAUAGCCAAAAACUGCCAGGAAUUUUUACUUUUGUUUUAAUAAUACUGAGGGAAAACAGCACUUUUACAGAGUUCAGAGGGAAAAAACGUAGAUCAAGGAUUUUCUACACAUGCACUUUUUGAAUGAUGUAUAAGAUGAAGGAAAAGAUAUUUUCAAGUAUUCAAGAACUCAGAAAAGAUACUCACCUUUUCUUUUUAAAUAAAAUUUUUAAAAUAUGUACUAUAACAGCUGCUUAUUAUGUAUUUUUUAAGAAAACUAUUUCUACCUCUGAUGGUUUUGUAAUAUGUCAGCCUGGCUAGGGUGAACUACAUUUCCCAGAAUUCACUUUUUUGUAUAUUUCUAGUUAGGGUGGGCUGCAAGAGACACUACUGUGGAAAACCUGGAAGGUAAAAGUGAAGCAGCAGCCAUUUUGUAGCUGACCCGUAUUGUCUCUGAUCUACUGACUCAUCUCAUUGGCAUGAAGCAGUGGCCACAUCUGAAACUACUCCAUCAUCCCCUGGAUCUUUCUUCAGCUUCUCUUACUCCUUGGCCAGAUGUUGUGGAAGAUGCAACCAUGACUAAGCAGUAGCUAUCCUCCAGAAGACAACAGUCUUACAGCAAAGAUAAAACAAGCCAACAAAUAUGCAAUGGGGAAGUAAAAAGAGAUAGCAAUGUCGCUGUUAGGGGAGAGGAUUUGGCGAUUUAUAGAAGAAGAGAGAAAUAAGGAAGAAGAAAAGAGGAGAGAAAAAGUGAAGAAAGACAAAUCCAGAUGAUCUUGGAAGCUCACUUCCUCCCAUGUGGGAGCUUAGCAAGAUACUAAUAACAGCUGAGGUGGGACAGGGACUCUUCUAAUAAGCUUACUUCGUAAAUCAGGAACAGUUACCUAAAACAGUUAGCACUGUUACAGAGUCAAGAGACCAGAGGUUCUCCGUCCUCCUAGGUAGAAAUAUGCAGAACUUUACAUACGGGGUCCCUCGGCUAGAGGCCUGUCCAUGGUGUCUGCAGGCUGGCUAUGCUCAGAUUAAGCAAGACUCUUUGUGGGAUAAGAAAAGCCACUUUGUUGGUAUUCCUAUCAAAAAUUUAAAUAACCUGAAUCUAAUCAUGAGGAAACAUCAGAUAAACCCAAAUGGAGAAACAUUCUAAAAAAGAACUGACCUUACUCUUCAAGAAUAUCAAUGGCAAGAAAAAUUCAGGAAGUGUUCCAGA
Molecule: long non-coding RNA, 2256 nt
Filed under: Homo sapiens (human)
Lineage: Eukaryota; Metazoa; Chordata; Mammalia; Primates; Hominidae
Description: HSALNT0294650
Source: RNAcentral